UGUUUCUACUGUCUGUGUUUCUACUGUCUUCUGUCUGUGUUUCUACUGCCUGUGUUUCUACUGUCUGUGUUUCUACUGCCUGUGUUUCUACUGUCUGUGUUUCUACUGUCUGUGUUUCUACUGCCUGUGUUUCUACUGCCUGUGUUUCUACUGCCUGGGUUUCUACUGCCUGUGUUUCUACUGCCUGUGUUUCUACUGCCUGGGUUUCUACUGUCUGGGUUUCUACUGUCUGUGUUUCUACUGCCUGAGUUUCUACUGCCUGGGUUUCUACUGUCUGUGUUUCUACUGUCUGGGUUUCUACUGUCUGGGUUUCUACUGUCUGGGUUUCUACUGUCUGUGUUUCUAUUGACAAUACUUUCCUGACAUUCUUAAGCCAAAACUGGAUAAUGUGAACGAGCAGUCCCAUGAGCAGAAACUGGAUUAAUGCAGCUACAUACCAGCUUGGACUGAGGACCUAGAGAGCAAACACUACUGUACCAGAGGUAGCAGGCUUCGGGGCUUUAGCAAUAUCUAUACUGAUAGAUAUAAUCACGUUUGCCUUCAAGACCCUGACCUCUCAAGAGAGCAUGGAAGACGUUCUGAACCGUGUGUUUGCAGAUGAGGCGUCCUCUGUGAGCGAUGUCAUGGAGGAAGGCCUGAAGACGAUGUCAUAGAGGAAGGCCUGAAGACGAUGUCAUAGAGGAAGGCCUGAAGACGAUGUCGUGGAGGAAGGCCUGAAGACGAUGUCAUGGAGGAAGGCCUGAAGACGAUGUCGUGGAGGAAGGACUGAAGACGAUGUCGUGGAGGAAGGCCUGAACACGAUGUCGUGGAGGAAGGCCUGAAGACGAUGUCAUGGAGGAAGGACUGAAGACGAUGUCGUGGAGGAAGGCCUGAACACGAUGUCAUGGAGGAAGGCCUGAACACGAUGUCAUGGAGGAAGGCCUGAAGACGAUGUCGUGGAGGAAGGCCUGAACACGAUGUCGUGGAGGAAGGCCUGAACACGAUGUCAUGGAGGAAGGCCUGAACACGAUGUCAUGUAGCUGUAGCUCAGUUGGUAGAGCAUGGUGUUUGCAACACCAGGGUUGUGGGUUCGAUUCCCACGGGGGGCCAGCACAGAAAAAAAAUGUAUGAAAUUGUAUGAAAUGUAUGCAUUCACUACUGUAAGUCGCUCUGGAUAAGAGCGUCUGCUAAAUGACUAAAAUGUAAAUGUAAAUGUCAUGGAGGAAUGCCUGAAGACGAUGUCAUAGAGGAAGGCCUGAACACGAUGUCAUGGAGGAAGGCCUGAAGACGAUGUCAUAGAGGAAGGCCUGAAGAUGAUGUCAUGGAGGAAGGCCUGAAGACGAUGUCAUAGAGGAAGGCCUGAAGAUGAUGUCAUGGAGGAAGGCCUGAAGACGAUGUCAUGGAGGAAUGCCUGAACACGAUGUCAUGGAGGAAGGCCUGAACACGAUGUCAUGGAGGAAGGCCUGAAGACGAUGUCAUAGAGGAAGGCCUGAAGAUGAUGUCAUGGAGGAAGGCCUGAAGAGACGGAAGAUGAACAUGAUGUGGAAAAGAUGAAGAGAUGCAAACGUUGUGUUUCCAUUGACGCAACUGAAGAACUCCAUGCUGGAAGAUGGCCACAUGAAGACUCGUCCUCUCAAGAUCUGGAUCAACCAGAUCAUGGACAUGACCCCUUCCAUGUCCAGAUGCUGAUCCAGCUGGCUCGACUGGAGGUGGGGGCUGAUGGCUGCUCAGCGCAUGCAGCCAUCUCAACCUACCAGAACAACCUGAAAGAACUUCUCCUUAAAAGCUGACCGCAACCUGAAAUCGGGCACUAGGAUUACUUCAAAAAAAGAUGUAUAUGUUUACAUUACUUAUUUUAUAAAAUCCCUGCAGUUUUUUAAGUCAAAAGACUGAAAUCGACCUUUCUAGGACCAUGUAAAGGUCCUUUGUCGGAUAAACAUGUAUCUACCUCCCUCUGGUGGUCGGCUGCAUCAUUACAUCAAUGUGUAUCACUUCACUCCGACGUCACAUCAAAUUGGGGCAGUCCUUAGAAAAACAUUUAUCCAACUCGACUGCUUCACAGCACAGACAUGGCAAAGCAAUUGCUGAAUUUGUCUCGAGCAGUUGAAUCUAAAUAUAUAACUUUCAUAGCUCUACAAUAAAGAAUGCGACCUACACACUUCCUUAAACCUAAAAUAAAUAAAGAAGUAAUUAUGUGUGGAAGUAAAGAAAUGUUUUAUGUUGGAGGCAGACACAUUGCAUAUGCUACAGAACAACAAAAUGGAGCCCUUUACAUAGUCCUUCUCCCCUUGUCUAUAGGAGUAACACACGCUGUCUAAAUGGCCCAAAUGUUGAUUUAGACCCUUUACAUAGUCCUUCUCCCCUUGUCUAUAGCAGGGACACACGCUGUCUAAAUGGCCCAAAUGUUGAUUUAGACCCUUUACAUAGUCCUUCUCCCCUUGUCUAUAGCAGGGACACACACUGUCUAAAUGGCCCAAAUGUUGAUUUAGACCCUUUACAUAGCCCUUCUCCCCUUGUCUAUAGCAGGGACACACGCUGUCUAAAUGGCCCAAAUGUUGAUUUAGACCCUUUACAUAGUCCUUCUCCCCUUGUCUAUAGCAGGGACACACGCUGUCUAAAUGGCCCAAAUGUUGAUUUAGACCCUUUACAUAGUCC
Molecule: long non-coding RNA, 2634 nt
Filed under: Salmo salar (Atlantic salmon)
Lineage: Eukaryota; Metazoa; Chordata; Actinopteri; Salmoniformes; Salmonidae
Description: lncRNA (ENSSSAG00000098642.1)
Rfam family: UnaL2 LINE 3' element (bases 1127-1180)
Source: RNAcentral